CCAUGCAGUGGUUGACUACUGUAAAACUUGCGCUUCUGAAAGGUCGUCAUCCACUUUUGAAAGACGUGGAUGUUACUGUUAACCCUUCAAAGGGCUUAGUUUUUUCGGAAGCCAGAGCACCUGAAAAAAGUAUCGGGGCCAGAAAAAGACGGUGAAUGGUUACCAUGUAGAUCCUUUCAGGGAAACACUUGAAGACAGUGACAUCACCCCAAACUCAAAUUUGUUGACUGGAACAGAUUUAGAAAAGAAUGUCAAAGUCGAUAAUGGAUAUGAUGAAACAGAAAAUAGUAGAGUUUCAACAAGCAGUCUUGUUGAAGUUGAAUCAAUCGAAGAUAAUGAGUCUAACGUAGAAGAAAGUGAAAGAGGUCAACAUGCUGGAUGUAACCAUGCCUGGCACCCUAAAAGAUGAAGAGAAGAAAAAGUGAUCGUUUCCUUCCUGACAAGGCAAUUGACUUAAUUGAUGAAGCUGGUUCUCGGGUUCGACUUCGUCAUGCACAGGUCCCGGAGGAAGCUAGGGAGCUUGAGAAAGAGCUUAGGCAGAUAACAAAGGAGAAGAAUGAAGGUCCGUGGCCAAGACUUUGAGAAGGUACAUAUCGUUUGCAUGCAUGAGGAAGACUACAACGAGGCUCUCAAGCAUACUCAUUCUGGAGGAACCAUGGAUCUGCAUGCUUUGAAUGUUCAGAUAUUCAUAAAGAUGCAUAGGUCAGAUUAUGCUGAGAAACAGCUGAGAGUGAUGCAACAGAUUGAUGAAGACCACACAC
Non-coding RNA from Camelina sativa (false flax), 761 nucleotides. NCBI's taxonomy places the organism in Eukaryota, Viridiplantae, Streptophyta, Magnoliopsida, Brassicales, Brassicaceae. The record is from RefSeq and is a predicted model, not a curated record.